Xenopus tropicalis (tropical clawed frog) is the source of this 129-nucleotide long non-coding RNA. RefSeq lists it as uncharacterized. NCBI's taxonomy places the organism in Eukaryota, Metazoa, Chordata, Amphibia, Anura, Pipidae. The record is from RefSeq and is a predicted model, not a curated record. The transcript is spliced from 3 exons.
GUAUAUUACUCAUUUAAGACUGGAGGGUCACCAAGAUCAGAGCCUCCACACACGGAUGAUGAUGGAGAAGACUUAGAAUUUGUAACAGCUAAAAGUGCUGAAAUUCCUCCAGAACAAGAAGCACUGCCU